Molecule: long non-coding RNA, 2090 nt
Organism: Pseudopipra pipra
Lineage: Eukaryota; Metazoa; Chordata; Aves; Passeriformes; Pipridae
Exons: 8
Source: RefSeq, a predicted model, not a curated record
AGCCGCCUCAGCCCCCUCAGGCGCAGUGUCCCGGCACUCCCCGGUCCGUGAGGCGCGCGCAGGUAAAAGGCGCUUUGGAGAAGCUCAAUAGAAGGUUGUGGAGUCGCUCUAGAGAAGAUUUUGGGCUGUUACAGGCGUAAUACAGUGUUCAGCAGCAGCGUCAGAAGGGCAGCACGGUCUUUCAGAGGAGUUAUUGAGGAAAAUACUUCUUGAACUUCGUCACCCUUGGUAAGAAGCUGUCGGAGAAGAAAGAAGAGACUGGAGUGCAACUUCGAGGCAAGAGCGAACAAGAAGAGCAGCAGCGUCAAGCUGAAGAGGGGGCAAAACAGAGACCCUCUGGGCAAAGGCCCCUCCCUUGGCAUCCCCGGGGCAGGGAUCCCAAAGAGUCCGGCGGGCAGCUUCUGGCUGCGCCGGCCGGCUUGGCGCUGGGCGGACCUCCCUGUAAGCAGGGCUGGGUCCUUUGCUUUGCUUGGCGUUGGCCUUUUGCCAUCGUGCUCCUGUGGCUGCCCGGAGAGAGGGGCAACCGCCCUGUAAGGAGGGCGAGAGUGCCCGCCUCCGCGCCCGAGGGGGGACACGGAGCUCUCCCGACCCCCGGCCCGCCCGCCCCGUAAGCGGGGCAGGGCUUUUUCCCUUGGCACCUUUGGUGCCUGCUGGCGGCCCCUGGCCAGAGUGACCCCCCGUAGUCAGGGUGUGUCACGGCCUGUGUCCCUUGCCCCUCAGCACGCCGAGGCCCUUCUGGCCCGUGCGCAGCCCGGGGCCACUAACGGGCUUCUCUCCGUCCUCGGGAACAGGGGGCGAGCCCGAGGCUCUCCUCCCCUGCUCGGCGGCAGGGCCGGCUCCCCACGGCUUGGCGCACAGAGCUUGCUCCCUCUUCUGGGACGUUCCCCCUUUGUGUCCUUGUCCCGUCGGUGUGAGUGAGCGAGCGAGCGAGCUGGUCCCUCCUGUAGCCCCCGUAGAGAUGUAGGCAGCGUAGCUUAGACUUCCCAGGAGGGAAAGAGGGGCUCUGGCCGGCUCCCCACGGCUUGGCGCACAGAGCUUGCUCCCUCUUCUGGGACGUUCCCCCUUUGUGUCCUUGUCCCGUCGGUGUGAGUGAGCGAGCGAGCGAGCUGGUCCCUCCUGUAGCCCCCGUAGAGAUGUAGGCAGCGUAGCUUAGACUUCCCAGGAGGGAAAGAGGGGCUCUGGCCGGCUCCCCACGGCUUGGCGCACAGAGCUUGCUCCCUCUUCUGGGACGUUCCCCCUUUGUGUCCUUGUCCCGUCGGUGUGAGUGAGCGAGCGAGCGAGCUGGUCCCUCCUGUAGCCCCCGUAGAGAUGUAGGCAGCGUAGCUUAGACUUCCCAGGAGGGAAAGAGGGGCUCUGGCCGGCUCCCCACGGCUUGGCGCACAGAGCUUGCUCCCUCUUCUGGGACGUUCCCCCUUUGUGUCCUUGUCCCGUCGGUGUGAGUGAGCGAGCGAGCGAGCUGGUCCCUCCUGUAGCCCCCGUAGAGAUGUAGGCAGCGUAGCUUAGACUUCCCAGGAGGGAAAGAGGGGCUCUGGCCGGCUCCCCACGGCUUGGCGCACAGAGCUUGCUCCCUCUUCUGGGACGUUCCCCCUUUGUGUCCUUGUCCCGUCGGUGUGAGUGAGCGAGCGAGCGAGCUGGUCCCUCCUGUAGCCCCCGUAGAGAUGUAGGCAGCGUAGCUUAGACUUCCCAGGAGGGAAAGAGGGGCUCUGGCCGGCUCCCCACGGCUUGGCGCACAGAGCUUGCUCCCUCUUCUGGGACGUUCCCCCUUUGUGUCCUUGUCCCGUCGGUGUGAGUGAGCGAGCGAGCGAGCUGGUCCCUCCUGUAGCCCCCGUAGAGAUGUAGGCAGCGUAGCUUAGACUUCCCAGGAGGGAAAGAGGGGCUCUGGCCGGCUCCCCACGGCUUGGCGCACAGAGCUUGCUCCCUCUUCUGGGACGUUCCCCCUUUGUGUCCUUGUCCCGUCGGUGUGAGUGAGCGAGCGAGCGAGCUGGUCCCUCCUGUAGCCCCCGUAGAGAUGUAGGCAGCGUAGCUUAGACUUCCCAGGAGGGAAAGAGGGGCUCUGUGUGCCAACCCGUGGGGAGUCAGCCCCGCUGCCG